UGUUUCACGUUGUUUGAAGUAUGCGACGUGUGUACCAUCGCAAAGCUUCUUCGAAGCCCGUUCGUUUGAUAUCCAUGUCAAUAUGGUUGGGAAUCACGCAUGGACCAGCGAAAGAUACGUGAGGUCACGUGACACCUUUUUCCCACCUGGUUUGACGUUCGUUACGUGUGUACCAUCGCAAAGCUUCUUCGAAGCCCGUUCGUUUGAUAUCCAUGUCAAUAUGGUUGGGAAUCACGCAUGGACCAGCGAAGUAUACGUGAGGUCACGUGACACCUUUUUCCCACCUGGUUUGACGUUCGUUACGUGUGUACCAUCGCAAAGCUUCUUCGAAGCCCGUUCGUUUGAUAUCCAUGUCAAUACAUUUGGAAAUCAUGCAUGGACCAGCGAAUUAUAGGUGAGGUCACGUGACACCAUUUUCCCACCUGGUUUGACAUUCGUUACGUGUGUACCAUCGCAAAGCUUCUUCGAAGCCCGUUCGUUUGAUAUCCAUGUCAAUAUGGUUGGGAAUGACCCAUGAGGGCCUCAAGAAAGUUACGUUAUGUCACGUGAC
Long non-coding RNA from Dermacentor silvarum, 550 nucleotides. RefSeq lists it as uncharacterized. NCBI's taxonomy places the organism in Eukaryota, Metazoa, Arthropoda, Arachnida, Ixodida, Ixodidae. The record is from RefSeq and is a predicted model, not a curated record. The transcript has 3 exons.